This 253-nucleotide ribosomal RNA is filed under the name uncultured bacterium. RNAcentral's name for it is "partial 16S ribosomal RNA". It matches the Rfam family "Bacterial small subunit ribosomal RNA", at positions 524 to 776 of the family's 1533-position model. The record is from RNAcentral.
UACGGAGGGUGCAAGAGUUAUCCGGAUUCACUGGGUUUAAAGGGUGCGUAGGUGGGUUGAUAAGUCAGUGGUGAAAUCCCCGAGCUUAACUUGGGAACUGCCAUUGAUACUAUUGAUCUUGAAUACCGUGGAGGUCAGCGGAAUAUGUCAUGUAGCGGUGAAAUGCUUAGAUAUGACAUAGAACACCAAUUGCGAAGGCAGCUGACUACGCGAAUAUUGACACUGAUGCACGAAAGCGUGGGGAUCAAACAGG